This 318-nucleotide unclassified non-coding RNA is filed under the name uncultured Actinomycetes bacterium. RNAcentral describes it as "uncultured actinobacterium contains 16S-23S intergenic spacer region". The record is from RNAcentral. Lineage: Bacteria; Bacillati; Actinomycetota; Actinomycetes.
UCCGGUUUGGCACCGGCAGUCUCCCAUGAGUCCCCGACAUAACUCGCUGGCAACAUGGGACAGGGGUUGCGCUCGUUGCGCCACUUACGGACACCACGUUUCCGUGGCUUUUCCUGCGUAGUUCAGCCCAGGUAAGGUUCUUCGCGUUGCAUCGAAUUAAGCCACAUGCUCCGCCGCUUGUGCGGGUCCCCGUCAAUUCCUUUGAGUUUUAGCCUUGCGGCCGUACUCCCCAGGCGGGGUGCUUAAUGCGUUAGCUUCGGCACAGAGGACGUCGAUAGCCCCCCACACCUAGCACCCAUCGUUUACGGCUGGGACUAC